UAGAUAUUUUCUGGGAUUAAAUAGAAAUUAAAUCGGAGCAUUCAGAAAAGAAAUCUGAUUGAGAGAAUUAGAAUAUGAAAAGAAUUGAAGAUUGGGAGACAAAAGUGCACAAAAGAUCAAGAAUUGGAGAAAUAAAGAAUAUUUUUCCAAUUAGAGCUUGUAGGGGCCAAGCAAAAUUAACUUUGCACAUGGAGCUAAAAUUGGAAAAUGGAAGUAAAAAAUGAAGCCAAGCCAAUUACAAGCUAAGCCAUCACAUGGAGCUAAAAUUGGAAAAAGGAGAUUGCCAUUCAGCACGUGAGAGGAAGAAAAGAAUAAAGCCUUUUGGCUUUAAGCAUGGCCAAUCAAAAGAGUUUGUGAAUGAAGACAAAAAAAGAAAGCAAAUAUUUUGCAUGACAAUUUAAAUGGCAAGCACGUUAUGAAAGUGGCGGUUUUGGCUUGGAUUUAAUUCUUUCCAUACAAGGAUUUAAAAGCCACACUUGAAGCCUUAUAUAAGGGCCAAGCGGAAGCAACACGGGGGGGUUUUUAUUCGGCAGCCACACAUACAAAAUAAUUUGCAGCCGCAAGGGAGAAGAAAAAAAUAGAGGAGGCAACCGUUUGAAUUAAUCUUUAUGUCUGGUUUUAUUAACUCUUUUAUUCCCAAUUUAAUUAUGUUAGGCUAGAUUUUCUAUUUGGUUGAGGGUGAAUUCAAAACCCUAAACAUGCUAUGCAAUUAAAUUUAAAUUCUAUCAUUCAAUUUAUUUAAUUGAGAUUGUUUAUGUUCUUCAAUAAUUAUUGUUUAUGAUUUUAUUCUCGUCUUGUUUGAGUGGCCAAUUAGAUAGGACUUGAAUAAAUUCUAUUGCUGGAUUAAAAUUCUUGAUCCGUAAUUGUCUUGACAUUUUAAUCAUAAGUAGCAGGUUGGAAUCAAUGAUUUCAAUUGGAGAACAUAACCUAGGUUAAAUAAUCUGAGCUUGUGUGUUUAUUGCCUAGAUGAACCUAAUAUCUUUCUUUGCUUAAUGCUUCCAUUAUCUUAAAUUUAAAGAGCUUGUUUUCAAUUAUUUAAUGGUUCGAGAUUAGGUGAAGAUCUUGUUUUGCCUAACGACACACUAAGGAAAGAUUGAGACUAACAGAGCUUGUUGUUGUCUACGGUUGAUAGUUUUAAUAUAAAUUGAUGAUAUAAUUGAUAUAUUAUGUGCAUGUUUGGUGGUGGCGAAUGAUCCUUUAACCAAAGUUUUUCUCAUUGUUAUUUAUUUAU
Molecule: long non-coding RNA, 1231 nt
Filed under: Citrus x clementina
Lineage: Eukaryota; Viridiplantae; Streptophyta; Magnoliopsida; Sapindales; Rutaceae
Description: Citrus clementina (C. clementina) long non-coding RNA (CCLE_LNC001028)
Source: RNAcentral